AAGACAGUGCAAUGCAUUUCCUAAAAAGCCAACGCGAUAAAACUUUCCUUCCUUCCUUUCUUCUGUCCUAGAAUAGGUUUUCCUAUGAAUAAUUGUAUGCCCACAGGAGGGGGAAUCAGUAUGUCUGAGGGGUCGAGUAUCUCUCAUGGCAACUGCAGAACGGAACCAGUAACUGCACAGAGCAAACUCGCAGCAGAGGGACAGGAGUGUGCAUCAGAGUGCCUAUUUUUUUGAUGUCAGCAGCAGAUAUGAGUGCACUUCCCUCUGAAAAUCAGGACCAAUCCUUGUGCACCGAUAGCGAUCCAGCAUGCCAUGGCCCUACACAAAACCCUUCCAGUUUUCCAGGACAGUGCCUGUUGUUCAUUAAUAGUGAAGGGGGAAAUGCCACCUAUCUGUACAGCCAGAAAGUCAGUAUGUGUGAGAGGCAUAUGCAACGCUUCCUGACAGCCAGGGAGAGGAAACACUGGCAUGCAGCUGAGAUCCGGACAAGCACAGUUUUGAAAAAGGCCAGUAGCUGAACAUGGAGGGAGUGCAAGGAGAGAGCUGCAGGAAACGUGUCUUCUGUUUCACUGAUGGAUGUUUAGAUGUUGCAUUCAAGUACUGAUGAGGGAAUCGAGAGCACAGGAGGAAACUAGAGAAGGUUCGAGAUGGGUGGCAAGUCACCUGGCACCCCAAACAAAAGUUCAGGAAGCUGGAUCAGAAGUUUGAAGCAGUUUGAAGAAGACAGUUAAGAACUAAUCCAGAUCUGGAAAUAAAAAGGGCA
This 763-nucleotide long non-coding RNA is filed under the name Anser brachyrhynchus (Pink-footed goose). Its description in RNAcentral is "lncRNA (ENSABRG00000022549.1)". The record is from RNAcentral. Lineage: Eukaryota; Metazoa; Chordata; Aves; Anseriformes; Anatidae.